AUGGUGGAGCCUAGAGUUUACGAUCAGUUGGGAGCCUCUGCGCCGCGCUCCGGCGCACACCUGUCUAGCGACACCAAAGCCGUCCUCUGCCUUGGGGCAGCCACUGCUGUGGGCUGGGCAGCGUGGAGGUACUACCAACGCCGCGCGUGCCUCCGGAAGUUUGGCCGGGACAUGACGGCAUUCGCUGGAAAAACCGAUCCGGUGAUCGGCCGCGAUGACGAGAUUGACCGUGUCGUCUCCAUCCUCUGCCGCCGGACCAAGAACUGCGUCGCGCUCGUCGGCGCUGCAGGGGUUGGCAAGACGGCUGUGGCCGAGGCCCUCGCCCAGCGCAUUGCCGCCGGGAUGGUCCCCGAUGUUCUCGCCGGUGCGCGCGUCAUUGAGCUCGACGUCGGCGCAUUGGUGGCCGGGACCAAGUGGCGUGGCUCCUUCGAGAGACGCAUGAAGGACGUGAUAAAGCAGGUGGAGGCCGCGGACGGCAAGGUGAUUCUGUUCAUCGACGAGAUGCACAUGCUUCUUGGCGCCGGGCGGUCCAGGAAGAGUGCCAACGAUGCUGCCAACAUGCUGAAGCCAGCGUUGGCCCGCGGCCGUAUCCGCUGCGUGGGUGCCACAACUUUCGAUGAGUACCGUAAGUUCAUCGAGAAGGAUGCCGCACUAGAGCGGCGGUUCCAAAAGGUGCAGGUCGAGGAGCCGAGCAUGGACACAACCAUUGAGAUUUUGCAGGGGCUAAAGAAACGGCACGAACGGCACCAUGGCUUGGUAAUACAGGACGCAGCUCUUGUUGCUGCUGCACAGUUUGCUGGCCGCUAUAUCACCGGUCGUCAGUUUCCUGACAAGGCAAUUGAUCUAAUUGACGAGGCAUGCGCCACUGCAAGCAAAAAGAUGAGGCAGAUUAACCGCCAAAAGGCGGAAGUGAACAUUACAAAAAGUAGCUCUGCAAAGGCAAUGAAGGAAGCAAUUAUCACCCCAGAUCAUAUCGCACAAGUUGUGAGCCGAUGGACUGGAAUUCCUGUCACCGCACUUAAUCAAGACGAGAAGGAUAAGUUAAUCUGCCUAGCGGACAGACUGCAUGAGCGUGUUGUUGGCCAGGAUGAAGCCGUCAACCUAGUAGCAGAUGCAGUGUUACGUUCUAGAGCUGGCCUUGAUCAUCCUGGCCAGCCCAUAGGCUCUUUCCUCUUCUUGGGCUCAACUGGUGUCGGAAAGACAGAGCUCGCAAAAGCUCUUGCCGAACAGCUAUUUGAUAGUGAGAAGAUGUUGGUUCGCUUUGACAUGUCUGAAUAUGUUGGGAGUAGUUCUGUGUUGCGUCUUGUUGGAGCACCUCCAAGCUAUCGUGGCUAUGAAGAUGGUGGACAACUGACUGAGAAAGUUAGGAGGAACCCGUACAGUGUCAUCCUUUUUGAUGAGGUGGAGAAAGCAGAUCCCUCGGUGUUCAAUAUUUUUCUUCAAAUCCUUGAUGAUGGCAGGUUGACUGAUGGCAGAGGCUAG
This 1482-nucleotide ribosomal RNA is filed under the name Triticum aestivum (bread wheat). RNAcentral describes it as "partial small subunit ribosomal RNA". The record is from RNAcentral. Lineage: Eukaryota; Viridiplantae; Streptophyta; Magnoliopsida; Poales; Poaceae.